AUCUCCACAGCGCUUUCUUUAAAAAUGUUAUUUCUCUCCCCAUUUUGACAAGCAACUGCAUGGCGGAGGAGCAGAAUUUGAAGGAGCCUUGUUAUGGAAAGUGUGCUCGCCCCUGCCGAGGGUGGCUGUGCACGUCGUGCGUGUGUGUGGACAGGCAUCCGUGUGGACCCACACCAGCGGGCAUGCCGAGGGGCUGCCAGCUGACCCCGAAGCGGCCCUCGGCACUUUUUACUGCUUUAAAAAAGUGUAGGAGAGCACCAUUGUCAAGUUCUGAGCAGCAGUCCGUGCCUUCGUGUUGAGGGAUCGCC
This 308-nucleotide long non-coding RNA is filed under the name Marmota monax (woodchuck). Lineage: Eukaryota; Metazoa; Chordata; Mammalia; Rodentia; Sciuridae. The record is from RNAcentral.